CCUACGGGAGGCAGCAGUGGGGAAUAUUGGACAAUGGGCGAAAGCCUGAUCCAGCCAUGCCGCGUGUGUGAAGAAGGCCUUCGGGUUGUAAAGCACUUUCAGUGGGGAAGAAAGCCUUGGGGCUAAUACCCUCGAGGAAGGACAUCACCCACAGAAGAAGCACCGGCUAACUCCGUGCCAGCAGCCGCGGUAAUACGGAGGGUGCGAGCGUUAAUCGGAAUUACUGGGCGUAAAGCGCGCGUAGGCGGUCUGAUAAGCCGGUUGUGAAAGCCCCGGGCUCAACCUGGGAACGGCAUCCGGAACUGUCAGGCUAGAGUGCAGGAGAGGAAGGUAGAAGUCCCGGUGUAGCAGUGAAAUGCGUAGAGAUCGGGAGGAAUACCAGUGGCGAAGGCGGCCUUCUGGACUGACACUGACGCUGAGGUGCGAAAGCGUGGGUAGCAAACAGGAUUAGAUACCCCGGUAGUC
RNAcentral lists this ribosomal RNA (465 nucleotides) under Vreelandella stevensii. RNAcentral describes it as "partial 16S ribosomal RNA". It matches the Rfam family "Bacterial small subunit ribosomal RNA", at positions 338 to 795 of the family's 1533-position model. The record is from RNAcentral. Lineage: Bacteria; Pseudomonadati; Pseudomonadota; Gammaproteobacteria; Oceanospirillales; Halomonadaceae.